Acanthosepion pharaonis is the source of this 95-nucleotide non-coding RNA. The record is from the annotation of a GenBank genome assembly. NCBI's taxonomy places the organism in Eukaryota, Metazoa, Mollusca, Cephalopoda, Sepiida, Sepiidae.
AACAUUGAAACACCUCUCCCCGUACGAACAACGAAGUUAAUCAACGUCAAACCUAGUCAGUACCUUGAUGGGUGACCGCUUGGGAAUCCAUGUGC